AGGUUGGAGGUGUAAGUACAGUAAUGUAUUCAGCUGACCAAUACUAAUAGGUCGAGGGCUUGAUCAAAUAUUUAUUAU
RNAcentral lists this ribosomal RNA (78 nucleotides) under Clostridium botulinum. Its description in RNAcentral is "partial 23S ribosomal RNA". The record is from RNAcentral. Lineage: Bacteria; Bacillati; Bacillota; Clostridia; Eubacteriales; Clostridiaceae.